UUAAAUACUUUUGUCAGAUUGGGGAAUGGUGGUUAAAAUAAUAGAUCAUACAAAACUCCCAUAAAUCCCAACAAAAAUGAAAACGGAGAAGGAAGGUAAAGUGACAGAAACUGUGAGAAACAAAUACAGUCACGCGGAAGCAAAAACCUACCGGUCCUCAUAUUGAAUUUCUCUCCCAGAUCAUUACCUUCCUCGUUUUCUUUCCAUCUUCUGAUCCUCUCUCGUGAACUGCCCCAUUUAGUUCCUUAUUCUUUUUAAUAAUGACAGUUUUGGCAUUUUUAGAGGAUUCUCUUUUGGUGAUCCAUUGUGGAAAUGAGAGGAAGGUCGUUUCGUUUGACAAGAGAUAGAUUUGGUCUUUCGGCCCAGCGAUAAAGAAGAUUGGGAAAUAUAGAGGAAUUGUUUCUCCUUUGAUUCACAACAUGAGCCCGCAAAGGCUGGCGACUAUUCGUGAUUUGGUGGAGGAAGCGAAGAAGCGGAUUGUGUUUCUGGUUAUAUGCGUUGUCGGCUUAUCUUACCUCAUGUCACGUAAGUUUCCGAUGUCUUCCUUGAUCGAAUUAUUUUCGUGCAUUUUUCUUUUUCAUUCUUAUUCCAGUUUGAUUAUUCCGUAUAGUAGCAGAUAUUAAAGCUCGAUUCUUUAGGGUUUUAUACGGUGAAAAUGUAAAGGUAAGAGUGGUAACUUCACAAUACGUGAGGUUUUGGUAGCGAGUAAUACGCACGUCUUAGACAUGUUGAAGUUUUCGUUUGUUCUAGAUGCUAUAAGUGUUAACCUUGAGGGCUACUAUUUUUUUUUUUUUUUUCUCUUUUCAAACAAUUCUGCGUCAAAUUUUUGGUGUUCGCGCAGACUAUAAUUGGCAGGAGAAAGAAGUGAGAGCAAGAUAAUUUUCCUCCAAACAUUCCUGAUUAUUGAGGGAAAAGAAAACUGUGGAUAUUGGAGUUUUCUUUCCACGAGUUGAAUGUGGAAAGUGAAAUGAAGUAGUUUUUUUUAAGAUAAAAAUGAAAUGAAGUAGUUCUUUUUGUUUUUUCCCCAUUCGUUCUCUUUCUCCUUCGACUUCUCCAUCUUCUCUAAUAAGGACAUGAUAAAAAGUUCAAUAUUUUUCUAUUUUUCUUUUCAUAUACGAUUAUAUUGUUUGGGUAAACAGCAUUCGUUAUAGUUUCAGUAAAAGGGUUAUAUGUCCUUUCAAAAGAAAAAAAAAAUUCAUAUUCUAUAUGCUGAUAAUGCAUCAACUUAUGUAGUUUCAGCAUUGGUUAUCUUGUGUUAUAUAAUGCACCAACUUGUGCUGCAGAUGUGAAUCCAGAAAGUAACAUGCUAUAAAGUUGUUGUGAACUCUAAAACUUAGACCAGGUGAUGGAACAAAAUCUUAGACACACCUGUUAGAUUGCAGCCGAACCUUAAAAAAGAUAAAGAUAACAAUGAAGUUACAACCUUCCGUUUUGGCAUCUUUCAUCACAACUGAUAUCGGCAUCUUCAAGAUGUCAGUAUCUGUUGACCAGUUGCUAUUGUCUUUUCCUACAAUUCAUGAAUAACUUUCUAACAUAUCAUGAACCUUUGAGCUAGGAAAUGUUGUGCAAACUUACUGGUUUUUCACGAGCUAAAUUACUUCAGGUGUUGAAGUCAGUGGAGGGUUCUUGCUUUACUCUGAUUUUUUUUCAUGUUUAUAGCAAUGAAGAUAGCUUUUGCAGGUACCUGAUUUAAUCAUUUCAAAAUUAUUAUACGACCUUUUUGUCACAAAUGAAGAUAGCUGGUGGGGACUGGGCAGGAAAACAUUCCCCUUUUCCCUUCAAGACAGAUUUGGAAUUCCAGGGGCCCGCCUAGAAUUGCUUUUUUCGCAUGGGAGGCUUGUAGAGGAAGUAUAUUGACACUUGAUAAGCUGAAGACCAGAGGCCAGAUUGUGGUUAAUGGGUGUUUUAUGUGCAAGAAGGCUGUGGAAUCCUGCUGCCACUUCUUCACUGCGAGGUGGUCCACGAGUUGUGAUGCCAGAUUUAUAGACUGAUUGGAAUCAAUUGGGUCAUCUCUGGUUCGGUUUUUGAUGAGAUCUGCGCCUUGGAGUGGGACUGACCUGAAAAAGAAUAUUGUUAAAAUUUGCCCUUUAACCCUUUUUUGGGCCAUUUGGAAAGAAAGGAAUAAGAGGGUGUUUGAUGGUAUUGAGAGGGAUAUUAAUAGACUAAGAGAUGUAUGGUUUAAUUAUUUUGGUAACGUUGUGUUAGGUCAUGAUAUCAUUAGAGAUGAGAAUUUUGGGGAUGUUAUUGACACCAGUAAAUUUGUAUAUGAGUGGUACCCUGUUUAUAUAUAUUUACAUUUUUUAUCUAAAAAAUUAAAUAAAUAAAAUUGAGGAUGCCUUUCCUAAAGUAUUUACAAUGUUUUAGGAUCCCGCAAACUAUAUAAGAUGGCCGUACUCUUGCAGAAACUACAGAGAUUAUUGAUGCAGAAGAGGGAAGAGCCCCAUAAUGGAGGGAUUACUACAAUAUUAAGAUGUUAUAUAAUUAUGAUCUUUUAUGGAUCAUCAAAGAUAUGUAGUCGAUUUAGGAAAUUAUUAUUAAUUUAAGUUUAUUAUUUCUUAUUUAGUUAAGAGUCCUAUUCAUUCCAUGCUUCCUAUUUCAUAUUCUAGAAAUCAUAAGAUAUCUAGAAACCGUGUUAAUAGUUGGCACUGCUCAAUUAUUAGGAAGAAUCUUAUGAAGAAAACUUCAUUGAUAUUAUCUCAUGCUAUAGUGCCUAAAUAACCUUGUGAUUAUGGUUGUGUUCUUGAUCCUGCAAUUGUGGAUUAACAGUCACAGUUGUUGUGGUGGAUUGAAUUUUUUUAUACUUACAUUUUUGAACUGCUAUUCAGCUGUGCUACAUUAAUUAUCUUGAGUGCAAACCACUUUAUAAGUUCAGCAAUACUUGGAUUCAGGAUCCUAGCUCAUUCAAGACUGUCUUUCACCAGAACACUCUGCUGCUACGAUACAAUUAAAAAUCUUUUCUCUUAUUUUCUUUAAUUUCAGUUCUUCAACAAGAAGUUUUGAGUAUUGCCAUUUACAGUUUCUUCAAAACAGUUAGCUAUCAGCAUCCUAUAGUAAAACCAUCAAUUCACUAAUUAUAGAAAGUAUCUUGACCUCCUUGAAUUUAGUAGCUUUAGAGUUGGUUCCUUACCAAAACAUUGUCUCUUGCCUCGAGAAAUGAACCCUUAAUCUUGAAGGAUGGUUGAGAAGUCUAGAAUGCUCUAUUUGCUUCGUUAUUAUGCUAUAAUAGAGUUGAUUUUUCUUUUCCUGCUAAAGAGACUAGUGGGAAGGGGUGAUGAAUGUAGCCAAUUUUCCUUGGGUUUGACCAUAGGGAUUCUCACCCACUUUAGAAUGUUUGAUUUGGAUCUUAGAUAUUACUCUUAUAGCAAAUCUUGAUGCAUAGUAGAUUAACUUUAAAUUGCCUAAACGGAUUAAAAAUUAUAAUACUAUUAAGUGUAAAGCUACUAUAACAUUAAGUAGUAUAUUAUUAUAGUUUUAGUAUUAUUUCAAAAAAAAAAAUUAUUAUAGUUUUAGUAACUUUAAGACUUUAUUCUUAUUAAGAUAAGACAGUGUGGAAUUUGAAGAAAGAUAAUAUCUUUACUCUUAAGUUCUUUUAUGACUAUUUGGCCAACAGAGAUGGGGAAGAUGUGAGAUUUCCGAUUUUACAAAUAUGGAAAGUGAAGGCGCCUCUGAGAAUCGUUCCGCUUGGGAAGCAGGUUGGGAAUGUAUCCUCACUAUCGACAAGUUGAUGAGAAGGGGGUCACAUUAUGGUUAAUGGGUUUUUAUUUAGGUAAGGAGACGGCUGAAUCGUACAAUCAUCUUCUUCUUUGGUGUCUGGUGACUUAUAGUAUCUGGAACAUAGUUUAUGGUUUGUUGGGUAUCAAUUGGUUGAUUGGGGGUUCGGUGAAAAAUGAACCUUGGGUUUGGAAUGGGAUUGAUAAGAAUUUAAAAUUUGUUAAGCUCAUUCCAUUAACUAUUUUUUGGAAGAUCUAGAAGGAGAG
RNAcentral lists this long non-coding RNA (3977 nucleotides) under Carica papaya (papaya). Its description in RNAcentral is "long non-coding RNA (CPAP_LNC002756)". The record is from RNAcentral. Lineage: Eukaryota; Viridiplantae; Streptophyta; Magnoliopsida; Brassicales; Caricaceae.